AUGGGAACGCGAAGAACCUUACCCACCUUUGACAUGUACGGAAGUUACCAGAGAUGGUUUCGUGCUCGAAAGAGAACCGUAACACAGGUGCUGCAUGGCUGUCGUCAGCUCGUGUUGUGAAAUGUUGGGUUAAGUCCCGCAACGAGCGCAACCCCUAUUACUAGUUGCUACCAUUAAGUUGAGCACUCUAGUGAGACUGCCCGGGUUAACCGGGAGGAAGGCGGGGAUGACGUCAAGUCAUCAUGGCCCUUAUGACCAGGGCUACACACGUGCUACAAUGGCCGGUACAAAGGGUUGCCAACCCGCGAGGGGGAGCCAAUCCCAUAAAGCCGGUCGUAGUCCGGAUCGCAGUCUGCAACUCGGCUGCGUGAAGUCGGAAUCGCUAGUAAUCGUGAAUCAGCAUUGUCACGGUGAAUACGUUCCCGGGUCUUGUACACACCG
This 441-nucleotide ribosomal RNA is filed under the name uncultured bacterium. RNAcentral's name for it is "bacterial SSU rRNA". It matches the Rfam family "Bacterial small subunit ribosomal RNA", at positions 954 to 1392 of the family's 1533-position model. The record is from RNAcentral.